UAUUUAAUCCCAGACAAAACCUAUUCUAAAGUUUAUAAUACAGUCCCUGCUUCAAUUUAUUAUAUUUUUUCCUCCAAAUAUUUCCAUUUUUUUGUUUUAAAUAUUAAUCGAGUAAGUCUGGUUGGAAUCUAGGACUAAAAUCUGUAACUCUUAAUAUUCUAUUGAUAACUUUUGUUCUGUUAUCCCCAAGUUUGCAUUAAUAUACACAUAGAUUCAGGGGCCAACCCAUUUGUAAAUUGGCAGCUAAUAGCAAGACAAAAAAGUUGAUUCAGGACUUAUAAAGUAAUAA
This 289-nucleotide long non-coding RNA is filed under the name Homo sapiens (human). RNAcentral describes it as "non-protein coding lnc-RAP2B-1:1". The record is from RNAcentral. Lineage: Eukaryota; Metazoa; Chordata; Mammalia; Primates; Hominidae.